Non-coding RNA from Nicotiana tabacum (common tobacco), 387 nucleotides. The record is from RefSeq and is a predicted model, not a curated record. Lineage: Eukaryota; Viridiplantae; Streptophyta; Magnoliopsida; Solanales; Solanaceae.
CUGCUUCUUCUCUAGUGCAUUGCUUCCCUUCAUAUGCGCUCUCUCAAUUUUCUAUCCAUAUUAGUCACAUUUUGCUAGGAAUAUGAUUUAUUGGUAUUGCAUUGUGUCUUGGGAAUUUCUGAAGUGAAGUAUCCAUUUGGGCGAAUCAACUUCAGAAUGUCAUUGCUCGUCUAAAGAUGUGCACGUUUCUAAGAGUACUGGACAUGGUGUAAUUUCAAACCCGCUAUCAGAUUGAUAUGAUGUUAUGAUGGCAUUGAGUGAUCAAGUAACAGAUUUACUUGUAAGAAGAAUCAGACCUUUCGUUUAUUUAUAUACCAAGAUGUGUAGAGUGAGCCUGCUUCAUUCGGUGGAUGUGAGAAUAUGAUCAGGUGACAACAAUACAAAUCA